CUGUGCUCUUCCUCCUCUCCCUGUCUCUCUCUCUCUCUCUUCUUCCCUCACUAUAUAUAUAUAUAUAUAUCUCUCUCUCUCCCUCACGACGCGCACACUUUACUUCACUCGUACUCUCUCGGCGAGUACAACGCGCACCCUCGCCACGGCGGAUGCCGAGAAGCGCGAGCGACUGUACGGGGCCCCUCUUGGGUGUGCUCGAGGCGGCGACGAGACGGCUGUGGCGACGGCAGCGACGGCAGCGACGACCGCGACGACGACAACGACUGUGCGUCGUACUGCGUACCGCGUAUCGUGUCACGGACGCGGAAGAUACUCGCGUUCGGGCCGGGCCUCAGCACGCACUCAGGGAUAUUCGCCCAUUUGUGACAGAUUUCCCGUCCGAGAUACACCGCGUUAACGACCGACCGACCGUCCCCCACCUACCGUCGCCACAUACAGACAUCACGGCACUUCGAUUUUUCAAGAUGGCGGCGCGCCGCCAUAGCGCCGCCAGGGGCGCGCAUGCGCCGCGGGCCGGAGGUGUAAAUAGAGCGCGAAGAGCGCGAGGUGUAAUAAAAGGUGCGCUUCGCUCGACGUUAUUUUCGCUUCGGGAUGAGACUCCGCGCCCCGAUCGGUUCUCUAGACGUCGAUUCGAAUGAAAGUAGCGUUAAACGGAAUGCAUCCGAGCGAUGUUUUAGAAACAUAACCUAAGAGAUGCACACGCGCAGUGGAGUAAAAACAUGUCUAAAAAUUGAAAUACAAAGUUAUUUACAAAGUUUGCGUUUGUAUCCAAGUUAAUUAAUCGUUUAUCUGUUUAUAAUGUUAUUGAAAUAUAACCUAUUAUAUGCGUCGGUGCGUUUUCUAUUCACCUGGACAUUUUUUAACUUUGAUGUGUUAAAUUCGAAAAAUCGCAUAAUUUCGAAAUCGUGUAAAUUAUAAAGUUAUUAAGUAUUCGAAAGCCCUAACUUAUCGUAAUAUAUAGUCAUUGUAUAAUCUAUUUUGAAAAUUAAUUAGCGAGUAAGGUAUGGAGACUGUUGUAUAGUGUACAUCUAAAUUUGAAGCAAUAAAACGACAAAUUUAUUCCCUGUGAAA
Long non-coding RNA from Camponotus floridanus (Florida carpenter ant), 1074 nucleotides. RefSeq lists it as uncharacterized. The transcript has 2 exons. Lineage: Eukaryota; Metazoa; Arthropoda; Insecta; Hymenoptera; Formicidae. The record is from RefSeq and is a predicted model, not a curated record.